UACGAAGGGGGCUAGCGUUGUUCGGAAUCACUGGGCGUAAAGGGCGCGUAGGCGGCUUUAUAAGUCGGGGGUGAAAGCCUGUGGCUCAACCACAGAAUUGCCUUCGAUACUGUAUGGCUUGAGACCGGAAGAGGUUAGUGGAACUGCGAGUGUAGAGGUGAAAUUCGUAGAUAUUCGCAAGAACACCAGUGGCGAAGGCGGCUGACUGGUCCGGUUCUGACGCUGAGGCGCGAAAGCGUGGGGAGCAAACAGGAUUAGAUACCCCUUGUAGUCC
This 274-nucleotide ribosomal RNA is filed under the name uncultured prokaryote. Its description in RNAcentral is "partial 16S ribosomal RNA". It matches the Rfam family "Bacterial small subunit ribosomal RNA", at positions 524 to 796 of the family's 1533-position model. The record is from RNAcentral.